Molecule: long non-coding RNA, 166 nt
Organism: Leopardus geoffroyi (Geoffroy's cat)
Lineage: Eukaryota; Metazoa; Chordata; Mammalia; Carnivora; Felidae
Exons: 2
Source: RefSeq, a predicted model, not a curated record
AGUUAGGAUUUUCCAUCAAAUACCCCAGCUGAGGUUCUCCGGGCACCUGGCCCCCCGCUGGUGCCACUCGGGUCUUCCUCAGUGCCGUGGACGGGGCUAGGGGGAUUGUGUCAAAUUGCAGUGGCAUAGAAAGCUGAUGCAGGAAGAGGCCUCAGCAAUAAUUUAG